RNAcentral lists this transfer RNA (73 nucleotides) under Loxopholis percarinatum. Its description in RNAcentral is "tRNA-Asn". Lineage: Eukaryota; Metazoa; Chordata; Lepidosauria; Squamata; Gymnophthalmidae. The record is from RNAcentral.
UGGAUAGAAGCCCGCUGGAUUGGGCGUUUAGCUGUUAAUUAAAUAGUCGCGAGAUCGAAGCUCGUUUAUCCAG